GGCAGAUUGAGGGACGAGCUGAUAUUAAAGCUGUUGCCUCUAUAUCUGCGGGCAAUGAUGAGCUUGUUGGAGAGAUGAUUGCCGAUGCUAUUGACAAAGUUGGCCCUGAUGGUGUUCUCUCCAUUGAGUCCUCCUCGUCUUUUGAGACGACUGUUGAAGUAGAAGAAGGGAUGGAGAUUGAUCGGGGCUACAUUUCCCCACAAUUUGUCACAAACUACGAGAAGAUGAUUGUGGAAUUUGAGAAUGCU
Molecule: unclassified non-coding RNA, 248 nt
Filed under: Hevea brasiliensis (rubber tree)
Lineage: Eukaryota; Viridiplantae; Streptophyta; Magnoliopsida; Malpighiales; Euphorbiaceae
Source: RNAcentral